RNAcentral lists this unclassified non-coding RNA (333 nucleotides) under soil metagenome. RNAcentral describes it as "partial contains 5.8S ribosomal RNA, internal transcribed spacer 2, and large subunit ribosomal RNA". The stretch from base 5 to 119 matches the Rfam family "5.8S ribosomal RNA", at positions 40 to 154 of the family's 154-position model. The record is from RNAcentral.
GAUGAGAACGUAGCGAAAUGCGAUACGUAAUGUGAAUUGCAGAAUUCAGUGAAUCAUCGAAUCCUUGAACGCACAUUGCGCCCGCCAGCACUCUGGCGGGCAUGCCUGUUCGAGCGUCAUUUCAACCAUCAAGCCCCAGGCUUGCGUUGGAGCCCUGCGGCUGCCGCAGCCUCCUAAAAGCAGUGGCGGGCUCGCUAUCACACCGAGUGCAGUAGAUUACUCUUCGCUCAGGGCGUGCAGCGGGUUCCGGCCGUGAAACCCCCUACUUUUAAAGGUUGACCUCGGAUCAGGUAGGAAUACCCGCUGAACUUAAGCAUAUCAAUAAGCGGAGGA